RNAcentral lists this unclassified non-coding RNA (26 nucleotides) under Mus musculus (house mouse). RNAcentral describes it as "oocyte_clustered_small_RNA679". The record is from RNAcentral. Lineage: Eukaryota; Metazoa; Chordata; Mammalia; Rodentia; Muridae.
UGCUUUGGGUUCUGUCGCUUAUGAUC